Molecule: long non-coding RNA, 956 nt
Filed under: Rhinopithecus bieti (black snub-nosed monkey)
Lineage: Eukaryota; Metazoa; Chordata; Mammalia; Primates; Cercopithecidae
Description: lncRNA (ENSRBIG00000046004.1)
Source: RNAcentral
AGGGACAGGACACUAAUUCUAUCCCACUUCAACCUUGAAUUGAGGGGGGUGGGGGGAAGGCGGCUGAGUUCCUUCCCCCACCCUCCAGCCCUGAGCCCUGAGAGGGAGAUUGAGCCUGAGAGAGAGGAGGAGAAGGAGUUUCUUCUUCUUCGAAAACCCCAUCCACGACUCCUACCCCCUCACCCCUCCAACUCGCCUCCCUCCCGAGCCCCCUCCACCCUCCUCCUCUUUGGCCGUGAGAGGAGGAGAGAAAGAAACCAAAAGCCUCUUAGCAACACAGACCCUUUGCUGCUGCUGCUGCUGCUGCUGCUGCUGCUGCUGCUGCUACUGCUGCUGCUGCUACUGCUGCUGCUUGGCCCUGGCUGGAGACAUCUCACUACACCCAGGAGCAGCCACUUCCCCAGCUCUCCUCCUCCUCCUUCGCCUCCUCCUCCUCCACUCCCCCCCUUUAUUACCCUUUGUGUCAUCCUCCACAGCUCCAGGGAAGGCACUCAAAAGUGGGGGGCAGGAAAGAGAAAUAUUAAACUUUUUACAAGGAUUAAAGAUACCUUGAACUAGCUGAGAAAGAAGAUAGCAACUUGGAGCCAAGCAAUACCAGCCAUGGUAAGGAGUUACAUCCCAUCACUCUUAUCACCCUGACUGUAAUAAGGAAUGAGAGUACAGUAGAUAGGAAAGAGAGGUAAGAGGAGCAUAUUGUAAGUCCUGGUCUGCUUUUUUUCAAAUGGACCCUGUGUUGUUGCAGAACCCAUGGUGCCACCCACUCAGACGACUUCCUGGAUGGCUCUGUGCGUGCUUAAGAACUGGUCUACAUUUUUUUGGUCCUUCCCCAUUCUUAUUCCACAUAGUAGGUACUGCACUGUAACUUGUGCUUUUGUGGGAGAAAUUCCAGGUAUCUUAGAACACAGAACCAUAUAAAAGAGCAGUAACUGCUCAUUUUGAGAGUGAUUGCAUUUAUU